UACGUAGGGGGCGAGCGUUAUCCGGAUUUAUUGGGCGUAAAGCGUGUGUAGGCGGUUUAUUAAGUCUAAGAUCAAAGCCCGAGGCUCAACCUCGGUUCGUCUUAGAAACUGGUAGACUUGAGUGUGGUAGAGGCAAGUGGAAUUUCUAGUGUAGCGGUUAAAUGCGUAGAUAUUAGAAGGAACACCAGUGGCGAAGGCGGCUUGCUGGGCCAUUACUGACGCUGAGACACGAAAGCGUGGGGAGCAAAUAG
RNAcentral lists this ribosomal RNA (251 nucleotides) under uncultured bacterium. RNAcentral's name for it is "partial 16S ribosomal RNA". It matches the Rfam family "Bacterial small subunit ribosomal RNA", at positions 524 to 775 of the family's 1533-position model. The record is from RNAcentral.